AUUAAGACAGCAGGACGGUGGUCAUGGAAGUCGAAAUCCGCUAAGGAGUGUGUAACAACUCACCUGCCGAAUCAACUAGCCCCGAAAAUGGAUGGCGCUUAAGCGCGCGACCUACACCCGGCCGUCGAGGCAAGUGCCAGGCCCCGAUGAGUAGGAGGGCGCGGCGGUCGCUGCAAAACCUUGGGCGUGAGCCCGGGCGGAGCGGCCGUCGGUGCGGAUCUUGGGGGUAGUAGCAAAUACUCAAAUGAGAACUUUGAAGGCCGAAGAUGUGACAACUCGAAAUUCCAAGAUUUGAUUUCAUAGGUAUUACACGAACAUGUAUUGACUAAUUGCUUAAUUGCACAUUUGAUUGCCAUAUUGUGAAACU
RNAcentral lists this long non-coding RNA (367 nucleotides) under Helianthus annuus (common sunflower). It matches the Rfam family "Eukaryotic large subunit ribosomal RNA", at positions 1231 to 1600 of the family's 3401-position model. The record is from RNAcentral. Lineage: Eukaryota; Viridiplantae; Streptophyta; Magnoliopsida; Asterales; Asteraceae.